RNAcentral lists this transfer RNA (72 nucleotides) under Cilnia humeralis. RNAcentral describes it as "tRNA-Lys". Lineage: Eukaryota; Metazoa; Arthropoda; Insecta; Mantodea; Mantidae. The record is from RNAcentral.
CAUUAGAUGACUGAAAAACAAGUAUUGGUCUCUUAAACCAAAUUAUAGUAAUUUUGUAUUUACUUCUAAUGA